RNAcentral lists this ribosomal RNA (253 nucleotides) under uncultured bacterium. Its description in RNAcentral is "partial 16S ribosomal RNA". It matches the Rfam family "Bacterial small subunit ribosomal RNA", at positions 524 to 776 of the family's 1533-position model. The record is from RNAcentral.
UACAGAGGUCCCAAGCGUUGUUCGGAUUUACUGGGCGUAAAGGGAGCGUAGGUGGCAUUCUAAGUCUGAUGUGAAAGCUCUGAGCUUAACUCAGAAAUGGCAUUAGAUACUAGUUUGCUUGAGGAUUGGAGGGGAGAUUGGAAUUCUUGGUGUAGCAGUGAAAUGCGUAGAUAUCAAGAGGAACACCAGUGGCGAAGGCGAAUCUCUGGACAAUUCAUGACACUGAUGCUCGAAAGCUAGGGGAGCAAACGGG